This 558-nucleotide small RNA is filed under the name Pan troglodytes (chimpanzee). RNAcentral's name for it is "processed transcript". The record is from RNAcentral. Lineage: Eukaryota; Metazoa; Chordata; Mammalia; Primates; Hominidae.
ACUUCCAGCCCGAGCCGCCGCCCGCUCGCCGGGCUCCUGCUCUUUGUUAUUCUGCGGGAGUGGGCUCGCCCGGGGGCCCCUGUGUGUGUGCGUGCGCGCGCGGAGGGGCGCAGCGAUUAUCUCCGGGAGCCCCGCGUCCGGGACCGCCCGGGACACUUCUCCCCGUACUUCGCUCUCGGUGCUCUGCUGUGCCUUCUCCACGGGUGAAUUUCCGAGCGCUCGGCGCGGCUCGACUUCCCUCUCUGCCGCUCCGGAGACCUUUGUGUGGCAAUUACCACUCCCUCCCGGCCCCUCCACCCCCCGGAAUUUCAUCAAUAACUCUGUGCACAGUCUGUGUGAAUUGAGGGUGGCUUCUGGUGUUUUGUGUGGCUUCAUCAUUUCCUUCCUGCCUCUCAUCCACUUCAUGAUGCACUAGAAAAACACCCCAACUCACCAAUGACAGCAAAGCAGAUAUUGGAAGUCAUUCAGAAAGAAGGGUUAAAAGAAACAAGUCUGGUUUCAGACCCCGGCAUGGCUUGGAGACAGCGUUGGUGUGUAUGAAGGAUCUUCCUCCAAUGA